ACCGCAACCUUUUUAGGGAGCGGAUAAUGGUCCUAAUCAUACUUCCUAGAAAAACCUCUAAGCUUCAGGUUUGAGCUGCCCGUACCGUAAACCGACACAGGUAGUCGAGGAGAGUAUCCUAAGGCGCUCGAGUGAUUCAUGGCUAAGGAACUCGGCAAAAUAGACCCGUAACUUCGGGAGAAGGGUCGCCCCGCGUAAGCGGGGCCGCAGUUAAAAGGCUCAGGCGACUGUUUAACAAAAACAUAGGGCUCUGCUAAAUCGAAAGAUGAUGUAUAGGGCCUGACACCUGCCCGGUGCUGGAAGGUUAAGGAAGUUUGUUAGUGGAGUAAUCUGCGAAGCUUGCGACUGAAGCCCCAGUAAACGGCGGCCGUAACUAUAACGGUCCUAAGGUAGCGAAAUUCCUUGUCGGGUAAGUUCCGACCUGCACGAAUGGUGUAACGAUCUGAGCACUGUCUCGGCCAUGAGCUCGGUGAAAUUGUAGCCCCGGUGAAGAUGCCGGGUACCCGCAACGGGACGGAAAGACCCCGUGAACCUUCACUACAACUUUGCAUUGAAUUUGAGUAAAUGAUGUGUAGCAUAGGUGGGAGACUAUGAAGCGGGCACGCUAGUGUUCGUGGAGUCGUCGUUGAAAUACCACCCUUUAUUUGCUUAGAUUCUAAUCCCGAUGAGGGAAACAGUGCAUGGUGGGUAGUUUGACUGGGGUGGUCGCCUCCAAAAGUGUAACGGAGGCUUCCAAAGGUACCCUCAGCACGGUUGGUAGUCGUGCGUAGAGUGCAAUAGCAUAAGGGUGCUUGACUGUAAGACCGACGGGUCGAGCAGGGACGAAAGUCGGGUAUAGUGAUCCGGUGGUUCCGUAUGGAAGGGCCAUCGCUCAUAGGAUAAAAGGUACUCCGGGGAUAACAGGCUGAUCUCCCCCAAGAGCUCACAUCGACGGGGAGGUUUGGCACCUCGAUGUCGGCUCGUCACAUCCUGGGGCUGGAGAAGGUCCCAAGGGUUGGGCUGUUCGCCCAUUAAAGUGGCACGCGAGCUGGGUUCAGAACGUCGCAAGACAGUUCGGUCCCUAUCUGUUGUGGGCGUUUGAGAUUUGAGGAGAUCUGACUCUAGUACGAGAGGACCGGGUCGGACUGACCUCUAGUGUACCUGUUAUGGCGCCAGCUGUAUCGCAGGGUAGCUAUGUCGGGAAGGGAUAAGCGCUGAAAGCAUCUAAGCACGAAACCCACUCCAAGAUUAGAUCUCGUA
RNAcentral lists this ribosomal RNA (1239 nucleotides) under metagenome. RNAcentral describes it as "bacterial LSU rRNA". It matches the Rfam family "Bacterial large subunit ribosomal RNA", at positions 1566 to 2816 of the family's 2925-position model. The record is from RNAcentral.